UGUUUCGGCUAGGGGGCCAUCCCGGCUUACCAACCCGAUGCAAACUGCGAAUACCGGAGAAUGUUAUCACGGGAGACACACGGCGGGUGCUAACGUCCGUCGUGAAGAGGGAAACAACCCAGACCGCCAGCUAAGGUCCCAAAGUCAUGGUUAAGUGGGAAACGAUGUGGGAAGGCCCAGACAGCCAGGAUGUUGGCUUAGAAGCAGCCAUCAUUUAAAGAAAGCGUAAUAGCUCACUGGUCGAGUCGGCCUGCGCGGAAGAUGUAACGGGGCUAAACCAUGCACCGAAGCUGCGGCAGCGACACUCAGGUGUUGUUGGGUAGGGGAGCGUUCUGUAAGCCUGUGAAGGUGGCCUGUGAGGG
Molecule: ribosomal RNA, 362 nt
Filed under: Salmonella enterica
Lineage: Bacteria; Pseudomonadati; Pseudomonadota; Gammaproteobacteria; Enterobacterales; Enterobacteriaceae
Also listed under: 1 other name
Description: partial 23S ribosomal RNA
Rfam family: Bacterial large subunit ribosomal RNA
Source: RNAcentral